RNAcentral lists this transfer RNA (84 nucleotides) under Poseidonibacter parvus. RNAcentral's name for it is "Arcobacter sp. LPB0137 tRNA-Leu". It matches the Rfam family "tRNA". Rfam says of the family: Transfer RNA (tRNA) molecules are approximately 80 nucleotides in length. Their secondary structure includes four short double-helical elements and three loops (D, anti-codon, and T loops). Further hydrogen bonds mediate the characteristic L-shaped molecular structure. tRNAs have two regions of fundamental functional importance: the anti-codon, which is responsible for specific mRNA codon recognition, and the 3' end, to which the tRNAs corresponding amino acid is attached (by aminoacyl-tRNA synthetases). tRNAs cope with the degeneracy of the genetic code in two manners: having more than one tRNA (with a specific anti-codon) for a particular amino acid; and 'wobble' base-pairing, i.e. permitting non-standard base-pairing at the 3rd anti-codon position. RNAcentral also lists the same sequence under 1 other name. The record is from RNAcentral. Lineage: Bacteria; Pseudomonadati; Campylobacterota; Epsilonproteobacteria; Campylobacterales; Arcobacteraceae.
GCAGCUGUGGUGGAACGGUAGACACGCGGGCUUGAGGGGCUCGUGCUUCGCGGCGUGAGGGUUCAAAUCCCUCCAGCUGCACCA